This 492-nucleotide ribosomal RNA is filed under the name uncultured bacterium. Its description in RNAcentral is "partial 16S ribosomal RNA". It matches the Rfam family "Bacterial small subunit ribosomal RNA", at positions 28 to 507 of the family's 1533-position model. The record is from RNAcentral.
GAUGAACGCUAGCUACAGGCUUAACACAUGCAAGUCGAGGGGAAACGACAUCGAAAGCUUGCUUUUGAUGGGCGUCGACCGGCGCACGGGUGAGUAACGCGUAUCCAACCUGCCCAUCACUUGGGAAUAACCUUGCGAAAGUAAGACUAAUACCCAAUGACAUCCCACGAAGACAUCUGAAUGGGAUUAAAGAUUUAUCGGUGAUGGAUGGGGAUGCGUCUGAUUAGCUUGUUGGCGGGGUAACGGCCCACCAAGGCAACGAUCAGUAGGGGUUCUGAGAGGAAGGUCCCCCACAUUGGAACUGAGACACGGUCCAAACUCCUACGGGAGGCAGCAGUGAGGAAUAUUGGUCAAUGGGCGGGAGCCUGAACCAGCCAAGUAGCGUGCAGGAGGACGGCCCUAUGGGUGGUAAACUGCUUUUAUAAGGGAAUAAAGUGGGUCUCGUGAGACUUUUUGCAUGUACCUUAUGAAUAAGGACCGGCUAAUUCCGUG